CGUAAAACGACGUGCACCACUUCUUUUGCUCGUCCUGGUCGAUGAAAGCGCGGACUGUCGCCGUUACUUCCGGGCCGCCAAAUCUCUGAAGACCCGUACAAGAGUGCCGAAAUGAACUAGGGUCUUCAAUGGCUUGAACAGCUUUUAAAAUACGACAAAGAACAGGAACACAUUCACCUAUACGACAGUGGCCAUGUUGGAUUGUUUUGCCGCCGUGACUACUAAGACCAGAAUUCCCCGCGCGCAUUACGCCUUGUGACGCAUAAUGAUGCAUGACAAUCUCGUUCCCAGAGCUUGCGAUACUCGGGAACGUAAGGCUCUGGGAUAAUCUGUUUCAGGGAGAAAUCUGAUUGGCCGUUGAAAUGGAAUGCGCAGUUCAAUCUUAGCCAGGAUUCCUGGCUUCCGGCAACGGAUUAUCCCAGAGCCCCACGUUCCUUCCCAAGGAUCGCAGGCUCGGGAACGAGCUUGGAUCCAUAAGGUCUAUUCAAAUAUGUGCAUACAUUUUUACACAGUUCUAUGUUUGCAUAAACUGGAAUUAUAGUAACUAGGCAUGUGAGUUAUAAACUGGAUGUGAACAGACGGUAGCAG
Molecule: non-coding RNA, 588 nt
Organism: Paramuricea clavata
Lineage: Eukaryota; Metazoa; Cnidaria; Anthozoa; Malacalcyonacea; Plexauridae
Source: the annotation of a GenBank genome assembly